CCUACGGGUGGCAGCAGUGGGGAAUAUUGCACAAUGGGGGAAACCCUGAUGCAGCGACGCCGCGUGAAGGAAGAAGUACUUCGGUAUGUAAACUUCUAUCAGCAGGGAAGAAAAUGACGGUACCUGGCUAAGUAGCCCCGGAUAACUACGUGCCAGCAGCCGCGGUAACACGCAGGGGGCAUGCAGUAUCCGGAUUUACCGGGUGUAAAGGGAGCGUAGGCGGUUUAGCAAGUCAGAAGUGAAAGCCCGGGGCUCAACUCCGGGACUGCUUUUGAAACUGUUGAACUUGAUUGCAGGAGAGGUAAGUGGAAUUCCUAGUGUAGCGGUGAAAUGCGUAGAGAGUAGGAGGAACACCAGUGGCGAAGGCGGCUUACUGGACUGUAAAUGACGCUGAGGCUCGAAAGCGUGGGGAGCAAACAGGAUUAGAUACCCCAGUAGUC
This 440-nucleotide ribosomal RNA is filed under the name uncultured bacterium. RNAcentral's name for it is "partial 16S ribosomal RNA". It matches the Rfam family "Bacterial small subunit ribosomal RNA", at positions 338 to 795 of the family's 1533-position model. The record is from RNAcentral.